AUCCUUGAUUCAAAUAUAAGUUAGAAUUUACAUACCUCAAACAAAGAAACAGACUUGGCAAAACCAAAUAAAGGCUACAAGAACGAAGAAGAAGAAGCUCAGCAGAUCAGCAGUACGAAUCCAAAGAAAUCAAUAGCAAAUCCACAGCUUUGAGAACCAGAAAUAGACUCAAUCCAAACCCAUUCUCGCACAAUCAGAAUCUUACACCUUUUCUGGAUUUGUUUUGAAACAAAAUAAACUUCAAAUCAACAAACAAACUCAAACCAUACUUUUUUUUUUUGUGAAUAGAGGCAGACUAAAAUUUUUAAAGGAAAAGAAAAGGGCUUGAAGAGUAUGACAACUCUAAGAACCCUAGAAAAAUCUUUCACUCUCAAAUUUUUUUUCAAACUUUUCUUCUGUUUUUUUAUCCCCCUCUUUUUUUUAACUUAGAAGACUUACCACAUAUAUAUAGUCUUCAAUAUCUUCAAGAAAUCUUCCCAAAAAUCCGAAAAAUCUCCCAAAUUUUCGAACAAUUUUGGGAUAAAUGGAGGGCGUGGAUUGAUUUACAUCUAUCCACGGCUCUCAUUCGUCUAACAAUUGUCCUUUUGAAUCCGAAAUCGUGCUAUUUGGGAGAGAAAAAUUCGUACUCCCUACUGACAAAAACCGUUUGGGAAUCAAAUGACGUGGAGGGGGGAUCAUUUUGAGCGAACUCGAAUGAGUGAUGGUGAGUCAAGGCGAGGAAGAUGAUGAACAGUGGACUCGGCGCCGCAUCUGAUUUCUCUAGGUUUAG
RNAcentral lists this long non-coding RNA (769 nucleotides) under Nicotiana tabacum (common tobacco). RNAcentral describes it as "long non-coding RNA (NTAB_LNC003746)". The record is from RNAcentral. Lineage: Eukaryota; Viridiplantae; Streptophyta; Magnoliopsida; Solanales; Solanaceae.